GUGAGGAAUAUUGGUCAAUGGGCGGGAGCCUGAACCAGCCAAGUCGCGUGAAGGAAGAAGGAUCUAUGGUUCGUAAACUUCUUUUGCAGGGGAAUAAAGUGCAGGACGUGUCCUGUUUUGUAUGUACCCUGAGAAUAAGGAUCGGCUAACUCCGUGCCAGCAGCCGCGGUAAUACGGAGGAUCCGAGCGUUAUCCGGAUUUAUUGGGGUUAAAGGGUGCGUAGGUGGUUUGAUAAGUCAGCGGUGAAAGUUUGCAGCUUAACUGUAAAAAUGCCGUUGAAACUGUCGGACUUGAGUGUAAAUGAGGUAGGCGGAAUGCGUGGUGUAGCGGUGAAAUGCAUAGAUAUCACGCAGAACUCCGAUUGCGAAGGCAGCUUACUAAGCUACAACUGACACUGAAGCACGAAAGCGUGGGGAUCAAACAGGAUUAGAUACCCGUGUAGUCC
RNAcentral lists this ribosomal RNA (445 nucleotides) under uncultured bacterium. RNAcentral describes it as "partial 16S ribosomal RNA". It matches the Rfam family "Bacterial small subunit ribosomal RNA", at positions 354 to 796 of the family's 1533-position model. The record is from RNAcentral.